UAUGUAGGGGGCAAGCUUUGUCCGGAUUUAUUGGGCGUAAAGAGCGUGUAGGCGGCCAUACAGGUCCGUUGUGAAAACUGGAGGCUUAACCUCCAGACGUCGAUGGAAACCGUAUGGCUAGAGUCCGGAAGAGGAGAGUGGAAUUCCUGGUGUAGCGGUGAAAUGCGCAGAUAUCAGGAGGAACACCGGUGGCGAAGGCGGUUCUCUGGGCCUGUACUGACGCUGAGAAACGAAAGCGUGGGGAGCGAACAGG
This 253-nucleotide ribosomal RNA is filed under the name uncultured bacterium. RNAcentral describes it as "partial 16S ribosomal RNA". It matches the Rfam family "Bacterial small subunit ribosomal RNA", at positions 524 to 776 of the family's 1533-position model. The record is from RNAcentral.